RNAcentral lists this ribosomal RNA (692 nucleotides) under uncultured Lachnospiraceae bacterium. RNAcentral describes it as "bacterial SSU rRNA". It matches the Rfam family "Bacterial small subunit ribosomal RNA", at positions 51 to 745 of the family's 1533-position model. Lineage: Bacteria; Bacillati; Bacillota; Clostridia; Lachnospirales; Lachnospiraceae. The record is from RNAcentral.
ACACAUGCAAGUCGAACGAAGCACCUUUUAAGAUUCUUCGGAUGAUUGAUUGGUGACUGAGUGGCGGACGGGUGAGUAACGCGUGGGUAACCUGCCCUGUACAGGGGGAUAACAGUUGGAAACGGCUGCUAAUACCGCAUAAGCGCACGAGAGGACAUCCUCUUGUGUGAAAAACUCCGGUGGUACAGGAUGGGCCCGCGUCUGAUUAGCUGGUUGGCAGGGUAACGGCCUACCAAGGCGACGAUCAGUAGCCGGUCUGAGAGGAUGAACGGCCACAUUGGAACUGAGACACGGUCCAAACUCCUACGGGAGGCAGCAGUGGGGAAUAUUGCACAAUGGGGGAAACCCUGAUGCAGCAACGCCGCGUGAGUGAAGAAGUAUUUCGGUAUGUAAAGCUCUAUCAGCAGGGAAGAUAAUGACGGUACCUGACUAAGAAGCUCCGGCUAAAUACGUGCCAGCAGCCGCGGUAAUACGUAUGGAGCAAGCGUUAUCCGGAUUUACUGGGUGUAAAGGGUGCGUAGGUGGCAGUGCAAGUCAGAUGUGAAAGGCCGGGGCUCAACCCCGGAGCUGCAUUUGAAACUGCAUAGCUAGAGUACAGGAGAGGCAGGCGGAAUUCCUAGUGUAGCGGUGAAAUGCGUAGAUAUUAGGAGGAACACCAGUGGCGAAGGCGGCCUGCUGGACUGUUACUGACA